This is a long non-coding RNA of Numida meleagris (helmeted guineafowl), 602 nucleotides long. RefSeq lists it as uncharacterized. Lineage: Eukaryota; Metazoa; Chordata; Aves; Galliformes; Numididae. The record is from RefSeq and is a predicted model, not a curated record. The transcript has 3 exons.
GUGAGCAGGGAUCUCUGGUGGUGAAAAAGGUUAAGAAGAUGAUUUGGUUUACUUUUUUGAGCGUAUGAAUUUGUAACUCAACAACCUAUUCCUGAGCUAAAGGAACUGGGAAGGAAAAGCUGUCAAUGAAGACCUCAUGCUGUACAGAAUGGGCAGAGAUGUCCAUAAGCUGUUGCAGAAGAGGAACAUGCUGUACCAGCCUGCUCACCACACAGGUCUGAUUUAUAAAAGCACUUCAUCGCUGACCUAAUUUGGGUCCAUUUAAGAUUUCCCCAGCCUCACUGAUGCUAAUCUGAUUGUCCAGGAAUCAGCAAAGGGUAAUUAGCCUCUGUGAUAAUGAUCUAUCUGUCACAAGAUCAUGCCCUUUCAUCACAGACCAUCUCGGAUGUUGUCUAACCCAGCACAGGAAUAUGGAGCACAGCCCGUGCACAGCGGUGAGCAGCAGGUGCUGUUCUCUGCUCAGUGGGACCUGCGUUGCCAUCACCAUCAAGUCAUGGAGGGUUCCUGAUGGGCAGAACCUGGUGACAGUAGAAAAGGAAACUGAAUCAUACUUUGUGGCCAAAAACAUGACAGUAACAACAAGAAAAAAGUCUUGUUUUGAU